Molecule: ribosomal RNA, 440 nt
Filed under: uncultured bacterium
Lineage: Bacteria
Description: partial 16S ribosomal RNA
Rfam family: Bacterial small subunit ribosomal RNA
Source: RNAcentral
CCUACGGGAGGCAGCAGUAAGGAAUCUUGCGCAAUGGGCGAAAGCCUGACGCAGCGACGCCGCGUGGGCGAUGAAGGCCUUCGGGUUGUAAAGCCCUUUUCUGGGGGACGAGGAAGGACGGUACCCCAGGAAUAAGUCACGGCUAACUACGUGCCAGCAGCCGCGGUAAUACGUAGGGGGCGAGCGUUGUCCGGAUUUACUGGGUGUAAAGGGUGCUCAGGCGGGUCUGUAAGUCAGGGGUGAAAUCCCAGGGCUUAACUCUGAAACUGCCUUUGAUACUGCAGUUCUCGAGUUUGGGAGAGGCGAGGGGAAUAUCUGGUGUAGCAGUGAAAUGCGUAGAUAUCAGAUAGAACACCAAUGGCGAAGGCGGCUCGCUGGCCCAAUACUGACGCUAAAGCACGAAAGCGUGGGAAGCAAACAGGAUUAGAUACCCCGGUAGU